UAACUAGAACUAUGAACUAGAAGGCUCUUGAUGAACUUGAAGGCGCUUGAUGCUUGAUGGCUUGAGGCCUUGAUGAAUAAUGAGGUUGGUUGUUGUCUCUAGGGGGGUCUGCCCAUGUAUUUAUAGUCCGGUGGGAGUCGCGCGCGUCGUCGGAUCAAACCGACUUAACCAAGGGCCGAGAUGACUCCUCAAAGGUGGCGGAGGAAGCUUUCGGAAGGGGGGCACCAAACCCUAGAGGGGGGCGCCGGCCGGCGCUAGGGUGGGGCCGGCCGGCCCCACCUGGUGGCGGCUGGUCCUCCCCUCGCGUCGGGUGUCUUCUAGAGUAUUCCUAAACCCUCUCACACUGUUUCCCGUGACGGAUACGUUUCCAUGUUUGAUUUGCAUUAGAGUCCCUAUUUUGCAGCUUUCCUGAAAUUCACCCUGGAAAAUACAGAAUAUACAAAACUCGUGGAAAUUGUUAGUUUAAACCCUAUACUAGUGUGUAUUCAUGUUCUCCUUUAGGUUUAAAGUUAUAAUAAAAGUUGACAUUAUCGACCGUCAACAACUCCCCAAGCUUACCUUUUGCCAGUCCCUUGGCAAACUGAGCCUAAGCAAUAUAUGUAUUGAGUUGUUAUAAUGUUUUUAUUCUUUUCCAAGUACACAUGCUCCCAAACAAAGAUUCUCCUCCGGAUUAGUCAAUACUUGCUCUAAUCCUCAAACUUACCCAUUUUACCUUUAACCAUGGGGAUUUAUAGCUUUUGCAUGAGUCUUGAGCAAUCAGAAGACAGAACAAUCAGGUCAAGCACUAUGUCUCAAAUUCUUGCAAAAACAUUAUUCUGGAGUUUUUUAUAAGUUUUUCAGAAUAAAACUCAGAGCUUAAUUAUAUGACACCCUCAAGUCUCUCAAUAUAUGUGGUUUUUAUGGUUCUCUCUUGAGGCAUUUAUACCUCCUAUAGCUAAAGAUAUAUAUGGUGGAGCUUAUAGAAGUGCUAACAAUAGGGAUAAGCUUACUUGCAAUGCCUGUAUUGUAAAGUCAACUAAUGGAUCCAAAGAGAGUCGAGGCAUAAAAUCAAACUAAGGUGUGCGUGUGUAUGGAAUAUGGUGGAUAGGUGUAUUUGUGGCUAAUUUAUAUUUCUUUGGGAAUAACUCUCUAUUGAGACUUUUCAGCAAAGACAUGGGCUAUCUUUAUUUUUUUUAUUAUUUUUUUAAUAGGGAGGCAGGCAUCUAGUACCCAUUGUUUUAAUUAUUGGGACACUUGUCCAUCUUUUACUUCCUUUUCUUCUUUUAUAUUUUUGCAUAGCCACAUGUAUCCUUUGAAUACAAUAAAUGAUAAAAGAGAUAAUAACAAGAACUUUGAACAUUAAAGACAAGGGUUAUCCUAUAGGUUGAUUAUUGGUGUUUAUUCCUAGUGUAGGAAUUCUGCAUAUAUGAACUGGAGUGUGUAUGUGAUCUUGAUUUAGAAAGCAUGACAAGACUCUCAUAAGGUAUAUGACAAAGGUUGACUAAACUCAAUGUAGAGCAAGCAGCAUAAAUGUGCAAAUGUCUUCCUAACUCUAAAUGUGUAUUAUAUGGCUUUGGUAGGAAUUAACACUUUGUCAUACAAGAGCUCAUCAUGUGGGUUUUAGAUUUUCAAAAUAAAUCUCCAGAACUUAGUAAUGCUAGGAAUAAGAUAAAUAGCAACUCAGACUUUCAAUGAUCAUAUCAACCAACUACCUAGACUUAGCUCAAGCUUAUGCCUCCAUAAAUUGUAGGUUUAGAGUAAAUCUUCAAAUUAAAAUAGUAAUGUCUAAAACUCGAGAAAAUCUGUUGUCGAAAUCUAGGUACUUGUAAAGAAUAGAGCAACUAUUCAUCAUUUCCAAAAAUUUAAAUGUUCAUCAAUUUUUAUUUAGCUCUAGUUUAGACCGACUCUAAACAGACUCUAUUACUUAACUAAUUAUGAACUCACAAAAGGCUCUAUGACUUGUGGACCUUCAUGUGCCCACAUAUAUUUGGUAUUUUUAUGACUAUAUAGACUCGAUAAUCGCUUAGGUAUAAUUACCUGAUAACUAGAGGAUGCUCCUCCCCCAAGCUGGAUGUUUGCAAUACUUGGUGUUGAUGUCCUUCAGAGCGAGCUAGCCAGUGGCAAACCUGGUGGGUGCAACCGAUAGACUCUCUCCUUGUUAUGAUGUUAUUCCUACAUAGUCAUACUCUAACAAGAAAACCAAACUCGAGGCUUGUAUUUAAUAAUGGGUUAGCGGUCAGCCAAUGAGCAAUUGAUUAUUCUUAUGAGCUAAUUUUAAUGUUGUCUGAUUUAAGCAGGAUUUCAUAUUUAUCAUCUUUUUGAAUUUUUCUAUUUAUGAUGCAG
This 2322-nucleotide long non-coding RNA is filed under the name Sorghum bicolor (sorghum). Its description in RNAcentral is "long non-coding RNA (SBIC_LNC012518)". Lineage: Eukaryota; Viridiplantae; Streptophyta; Magnoliopsida; Poales; Poaceae. The record is from RNAcentral.